CCCUGCUCCAGAAUGGUCUUAUUAUUUCACCAUCCAUUUCAUAACUCCACUUUAGGUGAAUACUUUCAUGGGAUAUUGAAUAACAUAUCAAAAACAAUUUAAAAUUUUACAGCUGCAUUUUGUCCAAUCAUAAGGCAAAAAGCAGAAAUUCCUUCCAAAAGUAGCACUGCAAAGUAUUCAUUCAUUCAUUGCCCUACUGAAAUUGGGAGUUCCAAGGAAUGCCAGCGAAAUCUCCUGUGGGAAAAUGGUAAACUCCAAGUUUAAUAAUGUGACCCUCACUAAAUGCGUAGCAGUUAAUGAUAAAAGUAGAACUAUCUUUCAUAACAGAAAGUGGGGGAGUGAGGGGAGUAGGGACAGACAGAGAAAGUUCCCUGACUUCAUAUUAUCAUAUAUACGGAUAAUCUGGUUACCAAGAGUAGCCUAGCCUUAAAAGAAGAGAAAAUCACCACAAUGGACACCAUGUUGCUGAGAGGGUUUGCGGAGGAAGGGUGGUUUCCAGAUAUCCUUAGUGAAUGCAGGUCACAUGCAAAGAGGUAUCUCAGGCCCUUUUUUCUUCCUUUUUGACAACAAAUUUACAGUUAAUUAGGCUCUGGACUUGCUCAGAGAAGCCCAGAAUUGGGCCUAAAGAAUAAAAUAACAUGAAAAAUCUGUGAAACCAUGAAAAUACAUUUUUUAAAAAAAGUUUCCAGGUAUAAUACACAAAAGCAAACAAGUUUAUCUUAAAAAAUACCAAGUAUCACAUCCAUAGCCUAUUCCUAAUUAUAAUUACUUCUUAAAGCAACAUUUGUCUUUGUUUACAAAUACAGCAGCAGGUGAUAAAACCUAGUAUCUCAAACUGAUUGCUUACAAUUUAUAAUACAAACAUAUGUAUAUGUCUCAAAUCACAUUUUAGGCAGUUUAACUUAAAAUGCAUAGACAAUUACAUACAUUAAAUUUGUCAUUACUGUCAGUGAAAAAUCACAAUUUCAAGAAGAAAAUUACAACAAACUCAUAGAGCACACAUAAGAAGUCAAGUUCACUUAAUGGCAACAAGUCAGUAUCUGCUGAUCAGUGACAGGCAGUGAAAGUGCCUUUAUCCAGGGGUAAAGUGAAGAGGCAAACUAUCCUGUUACUUUGCACACUUGAAUUGUUGCGCUGAUCAACACUACAAUCUUGAAAAACAUUAAAUUCUUAAAAAAAAAAAAAGGCAUGCCACAUGUCACCCUUUAAGAUGCCCAAAGGCUGGUUACAAUUUCCACCAGUAGUGAUCCUAACACGUUUAGGUAAAACUAAUAAUGAAUGGGUAUGCUAACAAAUUCUGUAAUGUUACUUAUAGACUAUGAGCCUCUCAAGGACAGGGAUUCCCUUAUAGCUGGCAAAGAACCUGGAUCAAGGACAUAUUGUCUACUGAAUAAAUGACUCAGAUGUUUUCGACAGCCAGAAGCUUGCCUGCCAUUUACAAAAUACUGAUUAUUUUAUUGGCAAUUUCUGUUUUACUUGGCAGAAAUCUGAAAAUAAAAAGUGUUUGUCUUCAAUACUAAAUAUUGCUUUAUUAAAAUCAAAGUCUUCCCUGAACGCCACCUACAACUUUCUAUGCAUAGUACAAUAUAUCAGUGUGAUUUAUCUGAAUUUAGGCUUAUGCUUUUCAAAAACUUGAAUGUCUGUGCUUAAGUUUUAUUUCCAGGCUUUCUAACCUUGGCAUUUGAUAAAGCUAGCUUCUAUCAUUCAGGGUGAGAAAAUUGAGACAUUGGCACUUAUUGUUUAGAAGUGUAGGCAAUUGACUGAUAUUCAACCCAGGCACAGUCUUGACAAAAACUCUGAGUAGAGCUUUUUUCAUCUACAGUUUCAAAAGCUGUAUAUUUGAGAGUACCCCAGGUAGCACUAAUUAUUUGUGAGGUAAUCAUGGGCAAAUUGAUUGGUUUUUUAGAAAAUAUCCCAAUAGUCCAUUGUGGUGGUGGGACUGACUGAGGCAAAAUAUAUACUUUUCUCUGCCCUAUUACUAUUCUCUACUGAAGACAACCAACAGUAAAAUGCACAAAACAGUCAGUCCUUGGGUAAUUAAAAAAUGUAUUGUCUAUUUCUGAAUAAUCAAUAUAUUACUUUACACAAAAUAGGGCUGAGUCAGAGCUGUAAAUGGUGUCUUCAAAAGCAUGAAAAGAUGAGAAAGUGGCAGGAUGGGACAGACAAGCCAAGGUCUUUGAAGUGCUCCACUUGAUUCUUGAGAACCGGGUGUGAAUGACGACCUAAGGUCUAUGUUUUAAUUUUUGUCUUUUUGGUUUCAACAUUUCAAAACCUAAGCUUCCAACUCCAAGAAACAGCAUUCCUGAACACCUCAACUAUUUCCAUUAGAUUUGAAAAUUCUUCCUCUGAAGCCCAAAUGUCAGCAUAUUCUAUAAUCUGUAUCCCCCUCAAGACCAAAUAUACUUGCUAACAAGCAGUCUUUUCCAUAAAUCAGUUUCAGCCUAGCAUGUCUUGUUUUGAAAGCAACAUUGUUCCCUUUUAAAAAGAAAAAAAGCCUUUCUUGAUGCUGUUCCCCAUUUCUCCACUAAAACGCCUGCUUUUCUUAACUCCACACCGAACCAACCUGAAAUAUUUUGGCCCAGAAUGCCAACAAGAAUUGAAGAAAAGAUGCUUUACAAAAAUAACAAUAUAAAAGCAAAUUAUAUUAUCCCUUUUAUCUCCAUUCUUACAUUAAAAAAAAAAAAAAAAAUCGGCCGGACGUGGUGGCUCACGCCUGUAAUCCCAGCACUUUGGGAAGCCAAGGCGGGCAGAUCACGAGGUCAGGAGAUC
RNAcentral lists this long non-coding RNA (2769 nucleotides) under Homo sapiens (human). RNAcentral describes it as "HSALNT0211279". The record is from RNAcentral. Lineage: Eukaryota; Metazoa; Chordata; Mammalia; Primates; Hominidae.